CAGACUAGAGUGCGGUAGGGGAGAUUGGAAUUCUGGUGUAGCGGUGGAAUGCGCAGAUAUCAGGAGGAACACCAAUGGCGAAGGCAGAUCUCUGGGCCGUAACUGACGCUGAGGAGCGAAAGCAUGGGGAGCGAACAGGAUUAGAUACCCUGGUAGUCCAUGCCGUAAACGUUGGGAACUAGAUGUGGGGACCAUUCCACGGUCUCCGUGUCGCAGCUAACGCAUUAAGUUCCCCGCCUGGGGAGUACGGCCGCAAGGCUAAAACUCAAAGGAAUUGACGGGGGCCCGCACAAGCGGCGGAGCAUGCGGAUUAAUUCGAUGCAACGCGAAGAACCUUACCAAGGCUUGACAUAUAGAGGAAACGGCUGGAAACAGUCGCCCCGCAAGGUCUCUAUACAGGUGGUGCAUGGUUGUCGUCAGCUCGUGUCGUGAGAUGUUGGGUUAAGUCCCGCAACGAGCGCAACCCUCGUCCUAUGUUGCCAGCACGUAAUGGUGGGAACUCAUGGGAUACUGCCGGGGUCAACUCGGAGGAAGGUGGGGAUGACGUCAAAUCAUCAUGCCCCUUAUGUCUUGGGCUUCACGCAUGCUACAAUGGCCGGUACAAAGGGCUGCAAUACCGCAAGGUGGAGCGAAUCCCAAAAAGCCGGUCUCAGUUCGGAUUGAGGUCUGCAACUCGACCUCAUGAAGUCGGAGUCGCUAGUAAUCGCAGAUCAGCAACGSUGCGGUGAAUACGUUCCCGGGCCUUGUACACACCGCCCGU
This 760-nucleotide ribosomal RNA is filed under the name Cryobacterium zongtaii. Its description in RNAcentral is "bacterial SSU rRNA". Lineage: Bacteria; Bacillati; Actinomycetota; Actinomycetes; Micrococcales; Microbacteriaceae. The record is from RNAcentral.